AAAAUCCGUCGACUUUCGAAGUCGUGAGGGUUCAAGUCCCUCUAUCCCCAA
RNAcentral lists this transfer RNA (51 nucleotides) under Muhlenbergia biloba. RNAcentral describes it as "partial tRNA-Leu". Lineage: Eukaryota; Viridiplantae; Streptophyta; Magnoliopsida; Poales; Poaceae. The record is from RNAcentral.